RNAcentral lists this non-coding RNA (399 nucleotides) under Pan troglodytes (chimpanzee). Lineage: Eukaryota; Metazoa; Chordata; Mammalia; Primates; Hominidae. The record is from RNAcentral. RNAcentral also lists the same sequence under 1 other name.
UCCGCUAAGUUCGGUGCCCGCGGGCACCAGCCGGUGGGGGCUUCGUCCGCUUUGCCGGGGAGAUGUCCUUUGCUUCUCAGAUGUAAAUGCACUUUAAGUUUGUUAUUCAACAGUGAAAAUGAGUCAUACAGAGGUUAAAUUAAAAAUACCUUUUGGAAAUAAAUUACUAGAUGCUGUUUGUUUGGUACCUAACAAGAGCUUAACAUAUGGAAUAAUUCUUACACAUGGAGCAUCAGGAGAUAUGAAUCUUCCUCAUUUGAUGUCACUGGCAUCCCAUCUUGCAUCUCAUGGGUUUUUCUGCCUGAGAUUUACCUGUAAAGGCCUUAAUAUUGUACAUAGAAUUAAGGCGUAUAAAUCAGUUUUGAAUUACCUGAAGACAUCAGGAGAAUACAAACUUGC